RNAcentral lists this transfer RNA (77 nucleotides) under Planctomycetota bacterium. RNAcentral describes it as "tRNA-Met". It matches the Rfam family "tRNA". From Rfam's summary of the family: Transfer RNA (tRNA) molecules are approximately 80 nucleotides in length. Their secondary structure includes four short double-helical elements and three loops (D, anti-codon, and T loops). Lineage: Bacteria; Pseudomonadati; Planctomycetota. The record is from RNAcentral.
GGCGGGGUAGCUCAGUUGGUGAGAGCGCAGGAUUCAUAACCCUGAGGUCGACGGUUCAAGUCCGUCCCCCGCUACCA